Hemicordylus capensis (graceful crag lizard) is the source of this 756-nucleotide long non-coding RNA. RefSeq lists it as uncharacterized. The transcript has 2 exons. The record is from RefSeq and is a predicted model, not a curated record. Lineage: Eukaryota; Metazoa; Chordata; Lepidosauria; Squamata; Cordylidae.
GCUCCAUAUACACAGAUGGACUGGUCUGGUGUGGUGAAAUCCAAAGCGCAGGGCGGCGGUGGGGGGCAGUGAUCCCUCUGCUUUCGGUUGUUAGAGCUCUGAUAAAUCUUUUUCUCCUGGGUCCCCCCCCACGCGCCCCCUUCCUCAUUUAUCGUUUUCGUAUGUAAUCUCACAAGGUGGGAAAGGAGGGUGGGGAAAUGAACUGACCUGAGUCCAUGCAGACCUCCAUGACUGGUGAUGAAUACUUUUUCUUCAGAAUGGGUGGUGGAGAAAAACAGGUCGGCACUAGCUGAGAGAGAGAGAGUGUGUGUGUUUCUCCCCCUAUCUGCAGAAUGUGAUUGUAGCAGUUUGAAUAAUUUCUUUCUUAAGAGACAUUGAUACUGGUUCUAAGAGAACCAAGAACAGACUGACUGCACAGCACAAUGAAGAGUGAAUGAAUAUCCUCUGCAAAUGUUCCCAUCCAAUGUUCAGCCAACCCAGACAGAUUUGUACUAAUACAGACGUACUCUGCAUAAAUGCUGUACAUUAACUAUUGCACUGCUCUAUUAAGGUGAGAAGUUGGACCUACCAGUGGGUCACAAAUAGAGAUAACAACUUUUUUCAGAUGUUUGAAACAAAAAUGUAUAGUGAUAUGUAGAAAACAACACAUAUUUGCAAUACUUUUCAUGAGCACUACUAAAGUAGAAUAAAAUUUUAUUGUUUCAGCCACUCACUUUAACAAUACAACAAUAAAAAAUAGAAUUUGGUGAUAUCAAA